Molecule: long non-coding RNA, 660 nt
Organism: Scleropages formosus (Asian bonytongue)
Lineage: Eukaryota; Metazoa; Chordata; Actinopteri; Osteoglossiformes; Osteoglossidae
Exons: 3
Source: RefSeq, a predicted model, not a curated record
AUCUUAACCACACUUGUUACUUUCAAGGCAAACAUCAGUCAGAAGCGUCGUAUUUUAGUAUGGACCUAAUUAAGCCAAAGUCACACGGAUUUCAGCUUGUUUGUCCUUUGGUCGGCCUGUCCGUCUGGCCCUACAGGAAAUCCUGGAUGACUCUGGUGCGAUCAGAGCGGCAGAAUGGCAGAAUGACUAGUUGUGCUUGUCAAAUCUUAUUUUUAACACACUCCAACACAUGCUGACCUCAGAGUUUUCAAUGUAGAUCUGUGGGUGUGCAGAUGUGUUCCGGGCUGCUUCGAUGGUUUGUCGUGAGCUUUGGCGCCCAGAAUUCAAUCCCGCGGUUACUAUGGAACACGACAAAAGUCAAGCAUCUGCUGUUGAUCGAUACUGGACAGCCUGAAUUUAGUGACCCCGGGCUAAUACGAUCCCUGCUUGCUCCAGACAAGUCCAGCCAGCACGAUAAAUCCAAAACGGAGAAAAGGCGGCAGAUACACCAGCUCCCAAAUCUGCAAGCACCCCCCGCCCAAAGAUUCUGCAGAUGCAUACAAGAACUAGUCCCAGCUAUCUAAAAGACUUGAUCAUCCACUACACGCCAACCGAACCGCUUCGCUCUUCUACAUCUGCCCGCUUGGUGGUCCCACGCACGAAAGGUAAAGCACAAAGGUU